UCCAGACUCCUACGGGAGGCAGCAGUGAGGAAUAUUGGUCAAUGGGCUUACGCCUGAACCAGCCAAGUCGCGUGAGGGAAGACGGUCCUACGGAUUGUAAACCUCUUUUGCCGGGGAGCAACGGGGUCCUUGCGAGGGCCCGAUGAGAGUACCCGGAGAAAAAGCAUCGGCUAACUCCGUGCCAGCAGCCGCGGUAAUACGGAGGAUGCGAGCGUUAUCCGGAUUUAUUGGGUUUAAAGGGUGCGUAGGCGGUCUGUUAAGUCAGCGGUCAAAUGUCGGGGCUCAACCCCGGCCUGCCGUUGAAACUGGCAGUCUCGAGUUGGAGAGAAGUAUGCGGAAUGCGCGGUGUAGCGGUGAAAUGCAUAGAUAUCACGCAGAACUCCGAUUGCGAAGGCAGCAUACCGGCGCUCAACUGACGCUCAUGCACGAAAGCGUGGGUAUCGAACAGGAUUAGAUACCCGUGUACGA
Molecule: ribosomal RNA, 468 nt
Filed under: uncultured bacterium
Lineage: Bacteria
Description: bacterial SSU rRNA
Rfam family: Bacterial small subunit ribosomal RNA
Source: RNAcentral